UUUAAGGUCUGACCUGCCCAAUGAAAAUUAUUUAAUGGCCGCAGUAUUUUGACUGUGCAAAGGUAGCAUAAUCAUUAGUUUUUUAAUUGAAAGCUGGAAUGAAUGGUUUGAUAAAAAAAAAUCUGUCUCAUUUUUAUUGUUUUAAAAUUUUAUUUUUAAGUGAAAAAGCUUAAAUUUUUUAAAAAGACGAGAAGACCCUAUAGAGUUUGAUUUUUAAAUAUUUUUUUUAUAUAAUGAUUAAAUUAUUUUUAAAAUUUUUAAAAAUUUUAUUGGGGUGAUAAAAAAAUUUAUUAAACUUUUUUUUAUUUUAACAUAAAUUUAUGAAUAUUUGAUCCUUAAUUUUGAGAUUAAAAGAAAAAAUUACCUUAGGGAUAACAGCGUAAUUUUUUUAAAGAGUUCAAAUCGAAAAAAAAGAUUGCGACCUCGAUGUUGGAUUAAAAUUUAAUUUUGGUGUAGAAGCUAAAAUUUUAGGUCUGUUCGACCUUUAAAAUUUUACA
RNAcentral lists this ribosomal RNA (497 nucleotides) under Henoticonus sp. UPOL 002212. Its description in RNAcentral is "partial 16S ribosomal RNA". The stretch from base 371 to 497 matches the Rfam family "Bacterial large subunit ribosomal RNA", at positions 2473 to 2600 of the family's 2925-position model. Lineage: Eukaryota; Metazoa; Arthropoda; Insecta; Coleoptera; Erotylidae. The record is from RNAcentral.